GGAAGGAUCAUUCACACGUGUCGAUUAUUCGAUUUAUCAUGAUCACUAACUGAACUCGUUACUCGCCGGCUUGGCCAUAUUCGUUCAGCAGGAGGGGAGCAAUUGAUUUUGCAACCGUUGUGGUGAAUGGGUAUGUGCUGGGUUAGUGGGGCCACACCGUUCGGUGUGAUCACGUUUUUUUAAGCGCUGGUUUAAACUAUUGUACUUUCAGCAAUGGACGUCUUGGUUCCCAAUUCGAUGAAGGACGCAGCAAAUUGCGAUAUGCAGUGCGAAUUGCAGAAAUCUGUGAACUAUCAGACCUCUGAACGCACACGGCACUGUUGAGGCAAGUUUUCGCAGUGUGUUUGGCUCAGUGUUUAUCUCUGACAAUAGAAGAUGCGAGAGCUGGCGUCGGGCGAUCCCGCUGAGGUUUUGGCUUCAGUGGUGGGCUACGUCGUCGUAAAAUUAUUUUUGUCCGCUGUUAUUCUCACAAAGGGGUUAGGAGCAUUCCAAGCGUUUUCGUGAGUGCAGUUGGUACGGAAAGUGUUUUAAAACGUUUUUUCUAAAUGACCUGAGCUCAAGCAAGGCAACCCGCUGAAUUUAAGCAUAUAAUUAAGCGGAGGAAAAGAAACUAAAUAGGAUUUUCUUAGUAAUGGCGAAUGAACAGGGAAUAGCUCAAAAUGAAAAUCACGCGCGCACACUGCGCCGGAAUUGUAGUCUGAAGAAGUGUUUCCAGUGGACGUCACAGAGAAGAAGUCUCUUGAAAGAGAACGCCAGGGAGGGUGAGAGUCCCGUCGCUGCUCUGCAGCACGUCCACAUACGGAGCAUUUUCAUAGAGUCGCGUUUCUUGGGAGUGAAACGCAAAGUUGGUGGUAAACUUCAUCUAAGGCUAAAUAGUUUAUGGGAAACCGAUAGCGAAAAAGUACCUUGAGGGAAAGAUGAAAAGGACUUUGGAAAGAGAGUUAAAAUUUCCCGAAAUUGCUGAAAAGGAAGCGGUUGAAAUGCAAAGUGCAAACCUGGAAGAAUAGCAGACUGGGGCUUUGUCGUUGUCGUCCUCUAGCUUUUUGGGACGGCUCGUAUUUGUUUCGGGCAGCUUGCCUUCUAGGUCGUGUCAGCUGCGGUUGGUACUUUCAUGUGGAGGCUCAGUGAGGAAUCUUUAGGGAUUACUUUCGUUGGGCCGUUUCCAAAGGAAGGCAUCGACCGACGCAGGCGCAUGCUGUUUACAGCAUGUUAAGUAGCUGAUAUCAGAAUUUCCACCGGCCCGUCUUGAAACACGGAUCAAGGAGUCCAACACAUGUGCGUGUCCGUGGGUACGCAAUCCUAUGGGCGAAAUGAAAGUGAAAGGUUCCCUUUCUGGAACGACCGACCACAAUCGUUGAGCGAGGUUUGAGUAUGAGCAUGUCUGUUGGGACCCGAAAGAUGGUGAACUAUUCCUGAAUAGGGUGAAGCCAGGGGAAACCCUGGUGGAGGCUCGUAGCGAUACUGACGUGCAAAUCGUUCGUCAAAUUUGGGUAUAGGGGCGAAAGACUAAUCGAACCAUCUAGUAGCUGGUUCCCUC
This 1537-nucleotide unclassified non-coding RNA is filed under the name uncultured fungus. RNAcentral describes it as "sequence contains 18S rRNA gene, ITS1, 5.8S rRNA gene, ITS2, 28S rRNA gene". The stretch from base 547 to 1537 matches the Rfam family "Eukaryotic large subunit ribosomal RNA", at positions 1 to 961 of the family's 3401-position model. Lineage: Eukaryota; Fungi. The record is from RNAcentral.